GGGCCACACGAGCGGCUCAGCUCCCUGCCUGGGCCCGGAGCAGAGUGGCGAGGGGAUUGUUGCAGCUGUCUUACUUUAACAAGUCUGAUGGAGGAGGCACUGAGACAGUAAGUGACUUUUUCCCCGUUUCCUUCAAAAGUCAGGUGUUAAAAAGCAAAGGAGUUCUUCCAGGACGGCCCGCUGUUUCUUCUGUCUCCCAGAGGAGGCGGUGGGCAUCCCCUUGGUCUGAGGGCAGCUCUGCUCUGCCUGCCUCACUUCUCCUUCCUCCCUACUCCCCGGCUUGCCAGAAAGCCCUGUCAUUCCUGCCAGGUCUUUGAGUCAACCCAUCAACCCUUGAGGUGCAGAGAACUGACUCCACUUCCUCACCAUGGCGAUGCUCUGGCUCCAGGUUAGGCGUCCAUGACGUCUGGUAAAGAUCUACCCAACCCUUGGGUUUGUAUGGCUUCCCUUGACGCUAACACACUAAGGGUAGGUCGUUAAAGUUCUUUCUAAGAAAUGCUUUUCUUCAGUGGUAAAGAGAAAAGAAGAGUUCCUUUAGGUUAAGGGUCCGGAUGGAGAGUGAAGGACGGGGAGGCCGCCGCUCUAAGGCACUGCACAGUGCUGGUGUCAGGGCUGCAGCAUCAGCUGCCCGCCGGGUGGGCCCUCCUGGCUGGCAGCACACUGCCUCCGGGGAGCCUCCAGGUAGAGGUGAGAGAGGGGCUGGGGGUGUGGUGGCCGGCGAGGUGACCCCCACCUGCUGUGCUCUGGGGUGGAGGGAACCACCAUCAGAGCAUUCCCAGGGCUGCUGGGGCAAGCCCAGGGCCAAGCCUGAGAGGCACAGCUCCUGGGACGCACGUGGCCCAUAGGAGAGCUCUACUGUCCAAUUCCUUAAGGCUUCUAGGAAAUGAAAUUUUUGAAUAGAAAUAAAACCAUGGCUUCCAAGCGACUUGUCGAGCAUUAUUGCUAAAUGUAUUGAAAUAUACUGAUCAUUGAUAGGCUGCCUUAAACUACCAACAGCACCUGGAUUCUGGAUUCUAGAACUCUCGUGAUUUAGUUUCCAUACAUGUGAAUAUAUUUCCGCCUCCUUAAAGUGUCAAGUUGUGAUAGUGUGUCAGUCCUCUUAUAUCUUGUGUGCUCUGUUGUAACCUGUGUGAAUGCAGGUAUCUUAGGGCUGUAAAUAGUCCUGAGAAUGGACUAAAGUCAUGGUACAAUUGGAAUCUAUCUCAGGACUUUUAAUUGAAUAAUUUGAUAUAGAUAUAAAAUAUGACUUCAUAUUUCUGUAGUCAUAUGUUACACACCAGUUCAAACAUAUGGAAGAACAAUUAUAAACUUCAUUAAUUAGAAUAGUGCUGUUUUCAAAAUAAUCAUUCGUUUUGGGUUGAAUUCUAUCCCCCCCAAAAAGAUGUAUUGAAGUAAUCUCUGGUACCUGUGAACGCAACCUCAUCUGGAAAUAGGGUCAUUGUAGACAUAGCUAGUUAAGAUGAGGCCAUAGUGGAGCUGGGCAGGCCUUUAAUCCAAUAUGACAGGUAUCCUUACAAGAAGAGAGAGAUACUGAGGUGGAGACAGGGAGAGGAUGGCCGCUUGACAAUGGAGGCAGAGAAUGGAGUGAAGCCUCUGCAAGCCAAGGAAUGCCAAGGCUGGCAGGCAGACACCAGGAGCCAUGAGAGGCCGUGAAGGAUUCCUCCAUGAGUUUCAGAGGGCACAUGGCAUGGCUUACACCUUGGUUUCAGCCUUCUGGCCUCCAGAAAUGUGAGAGAAAAAAUUCCUGCUGUUUUAAGCUGCCUAGUUUGUGGCACUUUGUUACAGAAGCCACAGGAAACAUACAAACCUCUAAGAAAGGGAUAUGAUUGUCUCCCAUUUCCCAGAUUUAUCUGAUCAUACAACCUCUUCAUUUUCUCCAGCAUAUCUUGAGGGCGUUUGGUCAACCCAGUGUGGCCACCCCUACCUCUUGGAUGGCCUUUCGUCUUCAUUUGAUUCCUACAUACCUCAAGAGCAGUGUGCUGGACAAACGACGACCCCCAAAGAUGUCCACAUCCCAGUCCUGGAAACUGUGACUACGUAGAUUACACGGCAAAGGAGAGAGAAGGUUACAGGUGGAAUUAAGGCUGAUAAUCUGUUGACUUUAAAAUAGGAAGAUAAAUGGUGUGCAAAUAUUUUUUCCCAGUUGGUGGGUUGUCUUUUCGUUUUUUUCGUGGUUUCCUUUGCUUUGCAGAAGCUUUUUAGUCUGAUGCAGUUCCAUUUGUUAACUUUUUCUUUUUUUCCCUUGCCUGAGUAGACAUGGUAUUCUAAAAGAUGUUGCUAAGAUCAAUGUUAAAGAGAGUACUGCCUAUAUUUUCUUCUAAGAGUUUUAUGGUUUCAGGUCUUACAUUCAAAUCUUUAAUCCAUUUAUCAGACAAAGGAUUGACCUCCAAAAUACAUAAAGAACUCAUACAAGUCAACAAAAAAAAGCCAAACAACCCAAUCAAAAAAUGGGCAGAGGAUAUGAACGGUCAUUUUUCCAAAGAAGAUAUACAGAUGGCUAAUAGACACAUGAAACAAUGUUAAACAUCACUAAUUAUUAGAGAAAUGCAAAUCAAAACUACAAUGAGAUAUCAGAAUGGCUAUAAUUACCAAGACAAAAAACAACAAAUACUGGAGAAGAUGUGGAGAAAAGCGAACCCUCAUACACUGCUGGUGGGAAUGCAAGCUGGUGCAGCCACUAUGUAAAACAGUAUGGAGAUUUCUCAAAAAAUUGACUAGAACUACCAUAUGAUCCAGCUAUCCCACUACUGGGUAUUUAUCCAAAGAACUUAAGAUCAAUGAUCCAGAGACUUUUGCGCCCUAUGUUCAUUGCAGCAUUAUUCACAAUAGCCAAGAUAUGGAAGCAACCCAAGUGCCCAUUGACUGAUGAAUGGAUAAAGAAGAUGCAUAUAUGUACAAUGGAAUACUACUAAGCUGUAAAAAAAAAGACAAAAUCAUCCCAUUUGCAACAACAUGGGUGGACCUUGAGGGUAUGAUGUUAAGCCAAAAAGCCAGACAGACAAAGACACAUACUGCAUGAUUUCACUCAUAUGUGGAAGAUAACAAAUUCAUGGAUGAAGAGAACAGAUUAGUGGUUACCAGAGGGAAAGGAGGUUGGGGGUUGGGACAAAGGGAUAAAGGGGCACAUAUGUAUGGUGAUGGAUAAAAAUUAGACUACUGGGGGUAAGCAUGAUGAAGUGUAUUCAGAAACUGAUGAAAAAUAAUGUGCACCCGAAAUUACACAAUGUUAUAAACCGUCAUGAUCUCAACAAAAUUACUUGGAAAAAAAAUAGAGAGAUUAUCCAAGUGGGCCCAGCGUAAUCCCCAGGGUACGUAAAAGUGGAAAGGGGAUAAGAAGAGAGAGCCAGAGAGACAGCAAUGUGGGAAGGGCUCAGCCUGAAGAUGCUGGCUUUGAAGAGGAAGGAAUGGCCCACAAGCCAAGGAAUGCAAGUGGCUUUUAGAAGCUGGAAAAGGCAAGGAAAUGGAUUGUCCCCUAGCAUCUCCGGAAACAAAUGCAGCCUACUGACACCUUGAUCUUAGUACAGUGAGAUUCCUGUUGGACUUCUGAUGCCCAGCACGCGAGAAGUACUAGCUAUCAAAGAGACCUAACAAUAAUCCUAGUAAUUGUAUGAGAUGGAAUGAAUGGUUCGGAAAGUGCCUGAUUGAACAACGUAUGAGUAAGCUGGUGAUACAAGGGCUCAACAGAAGAGAGAAGAGGAUUAAAAACAGGCAUGCACAGGAAAAGAGAGAGGUGACAAAAGAAGCCACCUACACAGACUCUUCAGCUGGUCGUGAUGGUAAUCAAGCCUUAUGUGAACCCCAAGCCACUGGGGUUAGCAUCUUUAGAUAAACUCUUAUUGGAAUCCUGCAAAAAUUGACUUCUGUUAUUUAAAGUGGAUAUUUGAGUGCAAAAGAAGCAGAAGCAAAACCAAAGUUUCUAUAUUGGCAUAGAGCAUCCAAACCGUUACUAACGGAGCUUCUGAGGCUUCCUUCAUUCAGAUCAUCCCGCUACGUGGCCUGCUUGGAUUGAGAU
Equus caballus (horse) is the source of this 4012-nucleotide long non-coding RNA. NCBI's taxonomy places the organism in Eukaryota, Metazoa, Chordata, Mammalia, Perissodactyla, Equidae. The record is from Ensembl.